Manis pentadactyla (Chinese pangolin) is the source of this 1064-nucleotide long non-coding RNA. RefSeq lists it as uncharacterized. The transcript has 3 exons. Lineage: Eukaryota; Metazoa; Chordata; Mammalia; Pholidota; Manidae. The record is from RefSeq and is a predicted model, not a curated record.
UUCUGAAACUCAGCCCUCUGCUCUAAAAACAAAACCUAGUCUUAUGUAAUAGUAGUGUGGUAUGAUACAAAACACAUAGUUGGUCUUGUCCUCAGUUCUCAGCACAGAGCUCCUAAAACCCUUGGCAUUAAAUUCCCUGAGUGAUAGGAGUAUCUUUUGUUAUUUUUAACAAGUCCUUUUCAGCCAUACCUGAAUUCAUGCUAAUGAGUGACUCUUGGUGGAACCCUAAAUAGCUUCAGGAUGGGAGCUGGUCACCAGAAGAAGCAGCCACGUGAUUGGGGGGUUGGCACUCUCAGGCCCCACCCCCAGGCUGGGGAAGGGAGAGAGGUUGGAGACUGACUUACACCAAUGUCAUGAUUUAACCAAUCAUUCCUAAGUAACAGAACCUCCACAAAAGCCCCUAAACAAUGGAGCUUAGUAUGCUUCCGGAUAGGUGAACACACUGAGGUAGCGGGAAGGUGAUGUGCCUGGAGACAUCCCCGUAAUUGUAAACCUGUAAACAUGUUUUUCCCAAGUUCUGUGAGUCAUCCCAGUGAAUUAUUAAACCUGAGGAAGAGGUCAGGUGAACCCCCAAUUUAUAGUGCAGUUGGAUACAAGUACAGGUGGCCCAGGACUUGCAAUUGGUAUCUACCAUGGGGGAAGUCUUGAGGAACUAAGCACUUUAACUAGGAUCUGACAGUAACUCCAGUUAUUAAGGAGCUGAAGUCAACAAGAUUUUUCAUUACCAAUAUUAGCACUAAGGAAUAAAGUUCCUUGAGAUUAGAAAAUCUUAAAGAACUGGGAAAGACAAGAAAGAUCAUGUGUGGGGCCUGGUACACCUUCCUCUCCAGUUCUGCUGACCUUUUAGGUCUCAGGUGAAAUGUCAUUUCCUUGGGCCUCCCCUGAUCCCGCAGAUAAAGUCAGUUUCUCUCGUGGAACACUGAGAGCAUCCUGAACUUCCCUUUUUUUAGCCCCAUGUACAUGUAACUUCCCAUUAAACAUCUGCUUCUUCUCUGAACUGUAAGUUCCAUGAUGUGGAACUUUGUCUCUGCUGUUCUGAACCCACUGACCUCCCCCAUCUAUCU